GGGUGUGGCUCAAGUGGUAGAGUGCUCGCCUAGCACAUGUGAGGCACUGAGUUCGAUACUCAGCACCACA
RNAcentral lists this transfer RNA (70 nucleotides) under Marmota monax (woodchuck). Its description in RNAcentral is "tRNA.Ala". The record is from RNAcentral. Lineage: Eukaryota; Metazoa; Chordata; Mammalia; Rodentia; Sciuridae.